RNAcentral lists this signal recognition particle RNA (321 nucleotides) under Thermoplasmata archaeon. Its description in RNAcentral is "signal recognition particle sRNA". It matches the Rfam family "Archaeal signal recognition particle RNA". Lineage: Archaea; Methanobacteriati; Thermoplasmatota; Thermoplasmata. The record is from RNAcentral.
AAACUCACUAGCACGGGGAACUAGGCGUACCCUCUCCUUCGGGAGGUCAAAUCGUCUAUAUGGUCGUGCGAAUGCCGGUGGGCGGCGCAUCCAGGAGGUCCUUGGAGCCUUGGACAACCUAUGAAGCAACGUCCUCGGGGCCGAAGGUGGUCAAGGGGCCAGCCGGAGGGCGGGCCUCUUUCCUCUGAUACGGGGACUGGGUCAGGCCCGGAAGGGAACAGCCUAACCGUAUACUCUCGGUGUCCGGGGAGUCACGGGGCUGAGAGCGUCCUUGGGUUACUCCCUGGAUCGACCUUGGCGUCCACCACCGGAUGUGGGCCC